Zea mays is the source of this 756-nucleotide long non-coding RNA. RefSeq lists it as uncharacterized. NCBI's taxonomy places the organism in Eukaryota, Viridiplantae, Streptophyta, Magnoliopsida, Poales, Poaceae. The record is from RefSeq and is a predicted model, not a curated record. The transcript has 2 exons.
CACACUCUCGCACCCUAGCUGGGUGUGGAGACCAAAAGGUGCUAGGCCAUCGACACCGCCUGCCACACUUGAGAGGGUUCUUUAUGAAGUUCUUAUUCAGGUAGGUUGAGUUGUGGACUAAUUGGUAGUUUGAAACAGAGGAGAUUUCCCUAUGUAGCGAUCUGUUAUGGAUUUAUGGAAUUUAUUAGGUUACUUGCCCUUUAAUGGACAUAUGGUCAAUCUAUAUUUUAACUUCAUGUCGCUUGCAUUGUUAUUGUUGCUCACUUUAAUUACUUUGUGACUAACUUCAUUUGGUAUUCACAUCUUUUAGAUUCUUCGAGCUCAUGUCUACCUAGCAGUUCAAUUGCUCAAGACAUCCAUCAUCAAGUGAUUUAGUGGGGUGGCAAUGGAUCACGAUACACAUCAAAUAUGUGCAUGGGGUGGUAAUGGAUCACUCAUGUUGCUUUCUUUUCUGAAUCAUUAGAAGCUUUGAAGGAGAUUUCUGAGUUGGCAUGUCCAAAUGUUGCUUUUCUUGAAGAGCUGAAAUGAUUUGAAGAAAUGGGCUUCAAAAUUGAAUUAUUUGAAGAAAUGGGUUUCAAAGUUGAUACUUCAUGUCCUUUGUACAAGACAAUCCGCUUGAAGUUAUUAGAUUAGUCCUGAUCCAUUUUGGUUAAAGUGGUGUUUACAAGUUGUCAUGACAUAAAUUUGAGUUAGCCUUUUUUAUUUGUUUGGUCUCCCCUUCACUACUCUCAUUGAAAAUAGUGCCAGUUUGUUUGU